RNAcentral lists this ribosomal RNA (497 nucleotides) under uncultured bacterium. RNAcentral describes it as "partial 16S ribosomal RNA". It matches the Rfam family "Bacterial small subunit ribosomal RNA", at positions 28 to 507 of the family's 1533-position model. The record is from RNAcentral.
GAUGAACGCUGGCGGCGUGCCUAAUACAUGCAAGUCGAGCGAACGGACGAGAAGCUUGCUUCUCUGAUGUUAGCGGCGGACGGGUGAGUAACACGUGGAUAACCUACCUAUAAGACUGGGAUAACUUCGGGAAACCGGAGCUAAUACCGGAUGAUAUUUUGAACCGCAUGGUUCAAAAGUGAAAGACGGUCUUUCUGUCACUUAUAGAUGGAUCCGCGCUGCAUUAGCUAGUUGGUAAGGUAACGGCUUACCAAGGCAACGAUGCAUAGCCGACCUGAGAGGGUGGUGGGCAACAGGAGAACUGAGACACGGCCCAGACUCCGACGGGGGGAACCAGUAGGGAUUCUUCCGAAAGGGGAGAAAGCCUGACGGAGAAGCGCCGCGGGAGGGAUAAAGGUCUUCGGAUCUAAAAACUUUGUUAUGAGGGAAAAACAUUUGUGUAAGUAACUGUGCACAUCUUGAGGGUACCUAAUAAGAAAGCCACGGCUAACUACGUG